UCCGAGUUGACCCCGGCAGUCUCUUAUGAGUCCCCGGCAUGACCCGCUGGCAACAUAAGACGAGGGUUGCGCUCGUUGCGGGACUUAACCCAACAUCUCACGACACGAGCUGACGACAACCAUGCACCACCUGUGAACCAGCCCCAAAGGGGAAGAACUGUCUCCAGUCCGAUCCGGUCCAUGUCAAGCCUUGGUAAGGUUCUUCGCGUUGCAUCGAAUUAAUCCGCAUGAUCCACCGCUUGUGCGGGCCCCCGUCAAUUCCUUUGAGUUUCAGCCUUGCGGCCGUACUCCCCAGGCGGGGCACUUAAUGCGUUAGCGCCGGCACUCAGGGGGUCGCUCCCCCAAGCACCUAGUGCCCAUCGUUUACGGCGUGGACUAC
RNAcentral lists this unclassified non-coding RNA (379 nucleotides) under uncultured Actinomycetes bacterium. Its description in RNAcentral is "uncultured actinobacterium contains 16S-23S intergenic spacer region". The record is from RNAcentral. Lineage: Bacteria; Bacillati; Actinomycetota; Actinomycetes.